Molecule: long non-coding RNA, 1360 nt
Organism: Marmota monax (woodchuck)
Lineage: Eukaryota; Metazoa; Chordata; Mammalia; Rodentia; Sciuridae
Exons: 4
Source: RefSeq, a predicted model, not a curated record
GAACCCAGGUCUUCAGAGUUUGCAUCAUGGCUACACCAAGUGGACUUGAGCAAUCCCACCUGGGAGCUGGGGACCUGAGGAUGGAAGAGAGGAUGCAGCCGUACGGAGUGCCUUUUCCUACUGGCCAGAGAAGACAAUUCCCUGAGUGCUGUUCUGAAGCAGAGUGAGGGCUGACCUGCAGCUAAAUUAGCAAGAGAGCUGGCUUCACAUGCUGAGAGAAUCUGAUGCCAACUUGGACAAUCUCAAAUGGCAAUCUGCACAUGACAAGCAAUAGUUGAUGCUGGCUGGUGUUUUUGCUGGAGAGGUGAAUGACACCGACGAGGGAAGCCUGGACCCAGCCUGUCCCCUGGCGCCUUCGUGAUGCAGCAUCGUGACCUUUCUGCCUGGGAGAUGACUCAUGGCAGAUGGCAGUGAGUUAAAGGAUCUUUGCUUCUGUAGAAUUCUUGCCAUUCCAUAAUUUAUGCACAGUGGAGAAAUGUUUACAUGUUGGAGAAGGAACAUUUUGUGGUGGAGUCAGAAAGAAGAGGUUAAUGUGGCCCUGGAGGAUAUAAAGAGCAAGCACCAGUAUCACAUGUGAAGACGAGAUGAUUGGAGGAGUGAAGAGAAGUGAACUCAUGGACACGACACUGAGAACAGUGCGCUGACUGCAGUCAAUAACUUGUGAAAUGGUCUCUUUUGAAUGAAAUGGCACCAGAGCAGAACAUCAGGAAAGGUGUUCCCCCCAGCUACACCUGCCAUUAUAGGAAAAGCAAAGAUGUGGCAUGAGAAUAGCCAUGUCCCCUUCCAGGCGGACACCAGUAGUCAAUGCUUCCUGGAGUACUGCUUCCUGUUGACCCUGAGCUCAGUCAGACAGGACCUCAGAGUCCUUCUCAACACAGAUCCAUGAGGAAAUCUAUUUACCACUCCUGUCAACAUCCUGAGCAGACAAACCCUGAAAAGCCAGAGUGGCAACAGGCAAACUGACUGUUGGCCUCAACUGUAAAAAAUCUUUCCAGUGAAUUUCCUAUAGUUUCUCCUUUCUUAAUGUCUCUAUAUAUGCUCUGUGACAUUGACAGUCCUAUGUACUCUAGUAUUUGCAAUUUAAUUUUGUCUCCUUUUCAUGAAAUCCCAAGAAUUUUAGAAUAGGACUAAAAGAAACUUCAUCUGAAUUUUUUUUUCAAAAAUAUUUAAAAAACUUUUAUUUUCAGUAUUUUGAGGUCCAGAUAUAUUGCUCAAUAGUCACUUUUUUUGUUUGAAUUUUAAAUUAUGGGAGAUAAUUGAAUUCUACUCAAAUUUUAUUGCCUGCUUCAUUAUGAGAAAAGGAGGAUGUUGCCUUGAUAUUUUUUUUGAAAAUUAGUAAAACCUGAACAUUUAAAACACA